RNAcentral lists this ribosomal RNA (492 nucleotides) under uncultured bacterium. Its description in RNAcentral is "partial 16S ribosomal RNA". It matches the Rfam family "Bacterial small subunit ribosomal RNA", at positions 29 to 507 of the family's 1533-position model. The record is from RNAcentral.
AGUGAACGCUGGCGGUAGGCCUAACACAUGCAAGUCGAACGGCAGCACAGUAAGAGCUUGCUCUUACGGGUGGCGAGUGGCGGACGGGUGAGGAAUACAUCGGAAUCUACUUUUUCGUGGGGGAUAACGUAGGGAAACUUACGCUAAUACCGCAUACGACCUACGGGUGAAAGCAGGGGAUCUUCGGACCUUGCGCGAUUGAAUGAGCCGAUGUCGGAUUAGCUAGUUGGCGGGGUAAAGGCACACCAAGGCGACGAUCCGUAGCUGGUCUGAGAGGAUGAUCAGCCACACUGGAACUGAGACCCGGUCCAGACUCCUACGGGAGGCAGCAGUAGGGAAUAUUGGACAAUGGGCGCAAGCCUGAUCCAGCCAUACCGCGUGGGUGAAGAAGGCCUUCGGGUUGUAAAGCCCUUUUGUUAGGAAAGAAAAGCAGCAGGUUAAUACCCCGCUGUUCUGACGGUACCCAAAGAAUAAGCACCGGCUAACUUCGUG